UAGCAUAAUCMUUAGUUUUUUAAUUGAAGACUAGAAUGAAAGGUUUAAUAAGAAAUAUUCUUUAUUAUAAAUAAAAAAUUAAAUUUUUUAUUUUAGUAAAAAAACUAAAAUUUAAAAAAAAGACGAUAAGACCCUAUAAAGCUUUAUAAUUUAAUUUUUAAUUUUUAAUUAAAAAUUUUUUAUUUUUAAAAAUUUAAUUAUUAAAUUGGGGUGAUUAAAAGAUUUAUAAAACUCUUUUUAUUUUUUUUUAAUUAUAAUUAAUAUUUUUUUUUGAUCUUAAUUUUUAAAUUAAAAAAAUUAGUUACUUUAGGGAUAACAGCGUAAUUUUUUUGAAGAGUUCAAAUCGAUAAAAAAGUUUGCGACCUCGAUGUUGAAUUAAGAUAUAAAGUUAGGUGUAGAAUUUUAAUUUUU
RNAcentral lists this ribosomal RNA (411 nucleotides) under Tanytarsus aboensis. RNAcentral's name for it is "partial 16S ribosomal RNA". The record is from RNAcentral. Lineage: Eukaryota; Metazoa; Arthropoda; Insecta; Diptera; Chironomidae.